This 278-nucleotide long non-coding RNA is filed under the name Phoenix dactylifera (date palm). RNAcentral's name for it is "long non-coding RNA (PDAC_LNC010624)". The record is from RNAcentral. Lineage: Eukaryota; Viridiplantae; Streptophyta; Magnoliopsida; Arecales; Arecaceae.
CAGCCUUUGAGGAGAAAGUGUUGACCGCCCUUCAAGGUUUGAAAACCAUUACACAAUUGGUGCACUCUCAUAUGCAAUCUAUCGCCAAGCUAGAAUCCCUGGGGCAACUAGCUAAUGCAUCGAACAAACGAGAGGAAGGAAAGCUUCCAAGCCAACCAGUGAGUAAUCCUAGGGGACAAUACAUGGCUCAAGAAAAUCAACUAAAUACAAUUCAUCAUGAACAAGCUAAUGCUUUGACUACCCUAAGGAGUGGACGUGUAGUAGACAAUAAGAUUAGG